CCUACGGGGUGCAGCAGUGAGGAAUAUUGGUCAAUGGACGCGAGUCUGAACCAGCCAUGCCGCGUGCAGGAAGACUGCUCUAUGAGUUGUAAACUGCUUUUGUAUGAGCGUAAAUCUCAAUACGUGUAUUGUUUUGUAAGUAUCUUACGAAUAAGGAUCGGCUAACUCCGUGCCAGCAGCCGCGGUAAUACGGAGGAUCCGAGCGUUAUCCGGAUUUAUUGGGUUUAAAGGGUGCGUAGGCGGGGGGUUAAGUUAGAGGUGAAAUUUCGGGGCACAACCCUGGAACUGCAUUUGAUACGGGUGGUCUAGAGUUUAGUAGAGGUAGGCGGAAUGUGUGGUGGAGCGGUGAAAUGCAUAGAGAUCAUGAAGAACACCGAUUGCGAAGGCAGCUUACCAAACUGCGACUGACGUUGAGGCACGAAAGUGUGGGGAGCAAACAGGAUUAGAUACCCCUGUAGUC
RNAcentral lists this ribosomal RNA (460 nucleotides) under uncultured bacterium. RNAcentral describes it as "partial 16S ribosomal RNA". It matches the Rfam family "Bacterial small subunit ribosomal RNA", at positions 338 to 795 of the family's 1533-position model. The record is from RNAcentral.